Molecule: ribosomal RNA, 551 nt
Filed under: uncultured bacterium
Lineage: Bacteria
Description: partial 16S ribosomal RNA
Rfam family: Bacterial small subunit ribosomal RNA
Source: RNAcentral
UGGGGAAUAUUGCACAAUGGGCGCAAGCCUGAUGCAGCCAUGCCGCGUGUGUGAAGAAGGCCUUCGGGUUGUAAAGCACUUUCAGCGAGGAGGAAGGUGGUGAGCUUAAUACGCUCAUCAAUUGACGUUACUCGCAGAAGAAGCACCGGCUAACUCCGUGCCAGCAGCCGCGGUAAUACGGAGGGUGCAAGCGUUAAUCGGAAUUACUGGGCGUAAAGCGCACGCAGGCGGUUUGUUAAGUCAGAUGUGAAAUCCCCGGGCUCAACCUGGGAACUGCAUUUGAAACUGGCAAGCUAGAGUCUCGUAGAGGGGGGUAGAAUUCCAGGUGUAGCGGUGAAAUGCGUAGAGAUCUGGAGGAAUACCGGUGGCGAAGGCGGCCCCCUGGACGAAGACUGACGCUCAGGUGCGAAAAGCGUGGGGCAGCAAACAGGAUUAGAUACCCUGGUAGUCCACGCUGUAAACGAUGUCGAUUUUGGAGGUUGUGCCCUUGAGGCGUGGCUUCCGGAGCUAACGCGUUAAAUCGACCGCCUGGGGAGUACGGCCGCAAGGUU